This is a long non-coding RNA of Mytilus trossulus (common blue mussel), 707 nucleotides long. RefSeq lists it as uncharacterized. NCBI's taxonomy places the organism in Eukaryota, Metazoa, Mollusca, Bivalvia, Mytilida, Mytilidae. The transcript has 3 exons. The record is from RefSeq and is a predicted model, not a curated record.
AUAAACUUCCGGUAAAAAUAGCACGCACUCUAUCACUCUGGAGUGUGUGUCGGGUACUACUACACGUGCUAUGUAAUUAUAUUUGACCUAUUUAAGUUUACACCUCAAACAGCAGUUGUUGAUUAGAAAGCUGAUGUUUUAAUGAUCUGGUGAUCUGGUGUCGGUGAUGUUACCAAAUAAUCUGAUAAUAGGAGAUGGACAUUUGUAUAAAUAUACAUGGUAGAAGAUCAGUGUUUUCAUUUUUGUCGAGCCUGUCACUUUUGUUGCAGAAAGCUCGACAUGUAUAGGGAUAGUGACGACAGUGAAGUUUAUGUGAUAUUAGUAUGUAGAGAGAAGUUCAGAACAAGAUAUUGUUUGAAGAGGAAUCACAGAGGAAAAGAGCUCAACUUUUAAUGAAUCUUCUUAGUACAGCACUGAAUCAUGAGACAAUAAUUCAUAUUUGAUUGUUAUUACAAAGAGUGGAUGUAUCUGACUAACAUUUGUAUGACAUUCAUCAAGACUUACAAGGCAAAGAAUCAGAUGUUACAAACAAAUGUGUGUGCAUUUAAAGACAUGAAUAUAUGUAAAUGUUACUUUCUUCUUGUGAUUUGAAGAGAAUUUGUUUUAGAUACUAACUGUGUAUGAAUUGAUGGUUGUUUUAAUACUAUUUAUAAAUACAUGAUUGUAACCCUUAAUCAAUUAAAGAAGAAAACAGAAAUGUUAGAAAA